AUGGAGAAGAUGCUGGGAUACACAUUAAUAGUCUUGUGCCUUCAGUUUGGCUGGUCAAGUGGAGAAGACCAAGUGGUACAGAGUCCUCAGGCACUGAUACUCCAGGAGGGAGACAACUCCAGCCUCAACUGCAGUUACUCAGUCAGCAGUUUUAGUAGCUUACAGUGGUAUAAGGAAGAUUCUGGGAAAGGUCCUGAAUUCCUCUUCCUCCUGUAUUCAGUUGGGGAUGAAAAGCCGAAUGAGAGGUUUAGAAUCAUGCUAUCAAAAAAGGGAAAUUCCCUGCACAUUACAGACUCUAACCCUGAAGACCCAUCCACUUACCUCUGUGCUGUGGUCACGGUGAUCCCCAAGCACCUGCAGCCUAUAUCAGAAUUGACAACUGGGGUGCUGGAAUAA
Non-coding RNA from Orycteropus afer afer, 396 nucleotides. NCBI's taxonomy places the organism in Eukaryota, Metazoa, Chordata, Mammalia, Tubulidentata, Orycteropodidae. The record is from the annotation of a RefSeq genome assembly.